UUUUUGCCUUGUGGAUAUUUUUGCAGUCAACCAACAAGUUGAUUAACUCAAUGAUUGUCCAUUGUGCUGCAAUGCAUUGUGGCAGACUCAAAAUUUUCUUCUAUAUUGUUAUUACUAUAUAUAUAUAGUUUCCGCUACUUGAUAUUGUUUUAUUUUUACUCCUGACAAAUGAAUAUUUUUCAGGGUAUGAAGGUGCAGCAUUAAAAACAUAAGAGAGUCUCGCAUUUCUGAAUUUCAGCCAAAAUGUGAUAUUUAGCACAGCUUUAUCAUAGCUUUGGUGUUGUGUUCCUAUGGGAUCUUGAAUGGCCAGAUGACAGUCUGGUGAUUUGGGAGGUCUUGGGUGUUAUAUAAA
Molecule: unclassified non-coding RNA, 352 nt
Filed under: Hevea brasiliensis (rubber tree)
Lineage: Eukaryota; Viridiplantae; Streptophyta; Magnoliopsida; Malpighiales; Euphorbiaceae
Source: RNAcentral